Molecule: long non-coding RNA, 359 nt
Organism: Pangasianodon hypophthalmus (striped catfish)
Lineage: Eukaryota; Metazoa; Chordata; Actinopteri; Siluriformes; Pangasiidae
Exons: 3
Source: RefSeq, a predicted model, not a curated record
AGCAUUACCACAACUCGAACUGUCUCGCGUUCAAGGCGGAGCGUGCUCACAGAGAGAGGGCUGGGCUUGCGCGAGCAAACUUUUAACAGGACAUAUGAGGCUUCACCGCUCAGCUGGACCCGAACAGGCAUCAUGACACAGCACUUGUUAAGAAUACUAUUCCCUGCGACUGUCCUGAGCCUGUGUCUGCUUAUUCAGAGCAUAAUUGCUACAGGAGGGGAAAGUGCAGGUACAGUAACUUCAGCUUCAACUACCACCAGUAGUAUUUCAUACACUUUGUCUACCGCAGUCACUGGUCUACAGUCUACAGUCACUUCAGCUGGACAAACUAUAAGAGCAACAACUCAAACCUCAUCAAA